AGCUUUGCGCAGUGGCAAUAUCGUAGCCAAUGAGGUAUAGCCGAGGAGUGAUUAUUGCUAAUUGAAAAUUCAUCAAUGCCCUCAAGAAACUGCCUUUCUAGACUCAUCUCCAGCUG
This 116-nucleotide small nuclear RNA is filed under the name Rhinolophus ferrumequinum (greater horseshoe bat). RNAcentral's name for it is "U4 spliceosomal RNA (ENSRFEG00010000620.1)". It matches the Rfam family "U4 spliceosomal RNA". From Rfam's summary of the family: U4 small nuclear RNA (U4 snRNA) is a component of the major U2-dependent spliceosome. The structure of U4 snRNA from yeast and human has been reported. Lineage: Eukaryota; Metazoa; Chordata; Mammalia; Chiroptera; Rhinolophidae. The record is from Rfam by way of RNAcentral.